UAAUAAUGACGAUGGUGAUAAUGAUGAUGAUGAUGAUCAUCAUCAUCAUCAUCAUUAUCAUCACAAUGU
This 69-nucleotide microRNA precursor is filed under the name Loa loa (African eye worm). RNAcentral's name for it is "microRNA mir-598". Lineage: Eukaryota; Metazoa; Nematoda; Chromadorea; Rhabditida; Onchocercidae. The record is from RNAcentral.